This 199-nucleotide long non-coding RNA is filed under the name Dunaliella salina. RNAcentral's name for it is "long non-coding RNA (DSAL_LNC000491)". The record is from RNAcentral. Lineage: Eukaryota; Viridiplantae; Chlorophyta; Chlorophyceae; Chlamydomonadales; Dunaliellaceae.
CGGGGGGCAGUGGUCUGUGGAGAGUCGUGCCUUCUGUUGGCGUGCACCUUCGCGUGCUGGCUGUGUCUGCAUAGAGCUGACUGUGMUGGGCGUUGCUUGCCGGAGGGCGGGCACCRYCYAGCCUAAUGUGGGGUGAUCCGCUUCAGGCUGGAAACAGAGCAGAGCAAAACCCCCGCAGCUAGCGGCUAUCAGACCGCAC